Long non-coding RNA from Lycium ferocissimum, 304 nucleotides. RefSeq lists it as uncharacterized. Lineage: Eukaryota; Viridiplantae; Streptophyta; Magnoliopsida; Solanales; Solanaceae. The transcript has 2 exons. The record is from RefSeq and is a predicted model, not a curated record.
CUGCAUAUGAAUUGGCAAGUUAACAGAGUGAAAGAAUAAUAUUAGCAUGUUUUGACAAAAAAAAAAAAAAAAAAAAGUAGAAACUGGAAACAUACAAAGCUGGAGAUUGCUGAAGCUACGACAAAGUUGAUGAAGCAGGUGGAAAACUCUGUGCUAACAUACAAAGCUGGAGAUUGCUGAAGCUACAACAAAGUUGAUGAAGAAGAAUGAAUUGUAACUCCUUUUAUAGAAGUGUAUUCAUAAACCAGAAAGGAUUUGAUUUUGUACUCGUAUAUGAUUUGUAUUAGGAACCAACUGUAAAAGG